AGACCCCCCCCCCCCCUGGGUGACUCUCCAUGCUGGGUACUUGGUCAUGCUUAGUAUAUGUGUCUAGGAUAUAUAUAUAUAUAUAUAUGUGUAUAUAUAUGUAUAUGUAUAUAUGUGUAUAUAUAUAUAUGUGUAUAUAUGUGUAUAUGUGUCUAGGAUAUAU
Paramuricea clavata is the source of this 163-nucleotide non-coding RNA. The record is from the annotation of a GenBank genome assembly. NCBI's taxonomy places the organism in Eukaryota, Metazoa, Cnidaria, Anthozoa, Malacalcyonacea, Plexauridae.